AUUGAACGCUGGCAGAAUGCUUUACACAUGCAAGUCGAACGGCAGCACGGGGGCAACCCUGGUGGCGAGUGGCGAACGGGUGAGUAAUACAUCGGAACGUGCCCAGUCGUGGGGGAUAACGUAGCGAAAGUUACGCUAAUACCGCAUACGAUCUACGGACGAAAGCGGGGGACCGUAAGGCCUCGCGCGAUUGGAGCGGCCGAUGUCAGAUUAGGUAGGUGGUGAGGUAAAGGCUCCCCAAGCCGACGAUCUGUAGCUGGUCUGAGAGGACGACCAGCCACACUGGGACUGAGACACGGCCCAGACUCCUACGGGAGGCAGCAGUGGGGAAUUUUGGACAAUGGGCGCAAGCCUGAUCCAGCCAUUCCGCGUGCAGGACGAAGGCCUUCGGGUUGUAAACUGCUUUUGUACGGAACGAAAAGGCUCUGGUUAAUACCUGGGGCUCAUGACGGUACCGUAAGAAUAAGCACCGGCUAACUACGUGCCAGCCGCCGCUGUAA
This 500-nucleotide ribosomal RNA is filed under the name uncultured bacterium. RNAcentral describes it as "partial 16S ribosomal RNA". It matches the Rfam family "Bacterial small subunit ribosomal RNA", at positions 30 to 523 of the family's 1533-position model. The record is from RNAcentral.